Paramuricea clavata is the source of this 614-nucleotide non-coding RNA. The record is from the annotation of a GenBank genome assembly. NCBI's taxonomy places the organism in Eukaryota, Metazoa, Cnidaria, Anthozoa, Malacalcyonacea, Plexauridae.
AAACAUGUAGAGUGUUUGGCAGAGUCAAACUGAACGCAUUCUUCUCACAUGUGACUGAGACAAAAUUAGAGUAAGACAACUGCACGAGAUAGAAUAUCGACUAACCAACAUGCUAUUAUUUUUUCGCUAGCGGAACGCGCCACCGCCAUUACCACCAAGAUUGUACGAGGAUUCAAAGGGAAAGUUACCAUCAAAAACUCCGCCAGCUAAGCCAGGAGAAAGAGAUAUCUAAGAUGAGUCAACCACAGACCUUUUUUGGAGUCGCGGAGAAUGGCGAGCCAACCACAGACUUUUCUCGGCGUGUCACGUUACGGGACGUCGAGGAAUGAAUGAUCCUAUUUACUGUAUUUAUCGAAAGAAUGCGAAAGAAUUGAAAAUGGCAGUCUCCAGAAGUAUUUUGAUUUUGUAUUGAAAUGGAAUUGUCGUAAAGGAAAAUUUGUAAUUUAAUUUAAGUUUAAUAUUAAUGCGUAUUUGUAAUAAAAAUAUAAUCAAAUUUUCUUUAAUAAUUGCCAUUUAAUUGGCUUUAAUGUUAUAACAAUUGCCAAUAAUAAUGUAACACUUGUAAUUUAAUAUUUAAAGAUAUGUAUUUUAAUUUAAAUCAUUUGGAAUUAAAA